Molecule: transfer RNA, 72 nt
Filed under: Ictidomys tridecemlineatus (thirteen-lined ground squirrel)
Lineage: Eukaryota; Metazoa; Chordata; Mammalia; Rodentia; Sciuridae
Description: Spermophilus tridecemlineatus (thirteen-lined ground squirrel) tRNA
Rfam family: tRNA
About the family: Transfer RNA (tRNA) molecules are approximately 80 nucleotides in length. Their secondary structure includes four short double-helical elements and three loops (D, anti-codon, and T loops). Further hydrogen bonds mediate the characteristic L-shaped molecular structure. tRNAs have two regions of fundamental functional importance: the anti-codon, which is responsible for specific mRNA codon recognition, and the 3' end, to which the tRNAs corresponding amino acid is attached (by aminoacyl-tRNA synthetases). tRNAs cope with the degeneracy of the genetic code in two manners: having more than one tRNA (with a specific anti-codon) for a particular amino acid; and 'wobble' base-pairing, i.e. permitting non-standard base-pairing at the 3rd anti-codon position.
Source: Rfam by way of RNAcentral
ACGGGUGUGGCUCAGUGGUAGAGCAUUUGCUUAGCAUGUGUGAGGCCCUGGAUUCCAUCUCCAGCAUCAAUA